GUUAUGUUGUUGAGUGCCAAGGUACUUUAUAAAACUGAAGGAUUUCUUGCCUGUGUAUGGAUGGCUCCAGCAAGAAAUUCUAAAUAAACUGAGUGUUCAUACACAAAAGAAUGCAUGAAGGUAGGGGUGGGGAUUGUUAAGAAGAGCCUUCUAGCAGGAUGGGGAGGAGGCAUGAAAUGCUCAAAAGUCAUUAAGAAAUGUAUGAAACUAUAAACAGUAUUGUUUUAAUUUAAGAAAUAGGAAAAAAUGGAAGGGUAAAAACACUAUCCUGACUAUGGGAAGAAUUUCUCAACUCAAUAAGUUUCAAUCUCAAAAUUAUUAUUUUUACCAAAAUUAUAACUAUUUUACAUAUUACUAACAUUUAAAAAAGCACAAAACAUGCAUUUGUGUGUGCAUGUAUGCAUGUUUGAAUGUGACGAGAUAUAUGUACAUACGUGUGAACAUAUGUGUGGAGCCAGAAGUUGAUCUCCAGGGUCGUUUUCUGUUCCUGUCUACCUUGUUCUUGAAGCCAGGUCUUUUUGUGGAACCCAGAUCGCACGGAUUCAUUGAGACCAGCUGGUCAGUACAAUCCAGGGCUCCUCUUUUCUCCACCUGCCCAGCACUGGGUCUAGAGGUGGAUGCUUUACUGUAAAUGUUAAUUAACUGUGGCGCAGAGGGGUAUGGAGUGAGGCGUGAGUGUAUGGUGUGAGUGUGUGGUGUGAAUACAUAAUGCACGUGUGCGGGUCAGAGACAAUGCUCGGGAGUUAGCUUUCUCUCUCCACCUGGGUCCCUGGGGAUUGAACUCAGUUUGCCAGAUUUGUGGGGCGAGCACUUUCCUCACUGAGCAAUCUCUCUGGCUGUUAUUUACCUCAGAACAUCCAGGAGGUUCUUGUGUUAAUGUCUACUUUGUAAGGAACAGACCAUUGUCUGGAUGUCAGUUUUGGAGUGGCUACCAACAUAACAAAAAUGAGAAGAUCUGAGUGUUUAGAUCAUAAUAAUCCGAGUCAUACUUCCAGAGUUUGAUUCCAGAUCUGUAGGAAGUAUUGUUCAUGGGACAUUUUUCUGCUGAGAUAAUGAACACUCUCAGUGGAUUUUUAAAAGCCAUCCUGCAUUUGUAAGAUCACACUAUAAAGAUCAUAGCUUUGUACCUGUUCACUGAAGAUCUCCAUAGAUCAGAAUGACAAGACCUGAAGACCCUAACUUCCCCUUCUAGUGAGCUGUAUGUGCUCAAUGCCACAGCAGCUUUGUCCCUAGUAAUAAAAGCCCGUUCUGAACCCAAGGAACACAGGGAGAAAAAUCUGUGAAUAGUUCAAAGAUGACUUAGUUUAGCAAAGUCAGCUGCUUCGAAGCCUGGAGAAAGCAGUCUGGAAACCACUGUCCUCUCACAAGAGACUUGGACACUCUCCUUUGAGAUGCCUUCCUUGCCUUCAACACAAACAGGAGACAGAGCUGGUGACGUUGGUUAAUACAACAGUGUUCUGGGCACUUGACUACCAUGAGUGGAACCUAUGCUGGCAUGAUCAUUUAGAGGAAAUCAUUUGUAGUGUUUUGACUUACAGAUUUUUUUUUUAAGUUGCAUAAGCAUGUUUAAGAUUGGACGGGCAUCUGCCGCAGUAUUCAUGGUGGUUGGUGGAGGGGCAGGGAUAUGGCUUGGAACCACCUGUAGCUGUAGUCAGCUGAUCUAUAUUCCCCUGAGAGUUACCUACAAGGUAAACCUGUCAAGCGCUGUGGGACAAAGGUUGAUCUGGGCUUGUUUUCCCCUGUCUUUAAGUUUUAUCAAGGAAAGCUUCUGAGGCUUCUGCAAGACUGAAGACUCAACACAGGCUUCAAAUCAACCCUCGGGUGUGGCUGUGUCCCCAUUCUACGGUGGUCAGGUUGUUUGGUUUUGGCUUUCUUUAAUGAAAUCUAUCAAAAUCAACUAGUCCCCAUUAACUUCUUUUUUAAAAACUGAUGUAAUGAAAUGUGCAAAUCUGAUUGGAAGGAAAAGGCUGGAAAGAAAACCCUUAGCUUUCAUUUGUAUUGUCAUUUUUUUCACUUUUUUUUAAUUAGAUAUUUUCUUCAUUUACAUUUCAAAUGCUAUCCCGAAAGUUCCCUGUACCCUCCCCCAACCCUGCUCCCCUACCAACCCACUCCCACUUCUGGGCCCUGGCGUUCCUCUGUACUACAAAAUUGUCAUUUUUAACAUGCUGCUUUUGUGUCUUUUGAAGCUUCCCCGCUUGGAACUAAGAAAGCAAAGCUCUAUGUUAUAUUUCUAUGUAUAAUUUAAGUGUUAAGCUCUAUGUUAUGUUUCUGCAUAUAAUUUAGAUGAUAUGUGAUUAUUGUAAGCAACGGCAGUCUAUAAACAGUUUUUGUGUUAAUAGUUUUGGAUUUUCCUCAUAAGUAAUUUAAAAAUAAAAUAUAGAUGUCCGUU
Molecule: long non-coding RNA, 2389 nt
Filed under: Mus musculus (house mouse)
Lineage: Eukaryota; Metazoa; Chordata; Mammalia; Rodentia; Muridae
Description: long non-coding RNA chr4:88429715-88432104
Source: RNAcentral